UUCAACUUGCCUGAAGUUUAAGUUUCUUUCACUCUCCUAGCUGACAUCACAUGUGAAUUGCAGUUAUUCAAGUCUUGAAGGGGGGACAUAACUUUAUUACUUUGGGGCAUUAUUGCUUCCAAAGUGCUGUAUUAGGCUUGACUAGACAAAACUAUUGUUGGAAUUCCUAAUUUUUGCUCUUCGUUUUUCAGGACAAUUUUGAUGUUCAGUGAUCCAUAUGCCUUAAAAGAUGCUGAUAGGUCAUACUCAAUCUGGUGCAAGAUGUCUUUAUUGUUUCCUAAGCGUUGGAGUUCAUUACUUCACCUUUAUUAAGAAAAUCAGAGAUUCAGCAUUGUUCAUUCUUAGGGAAGGGUGAGGAUACUAACAA
This is a long non-coding RNA of Telopea speciosissima, 367 nucleotides long. RefSeq lists it as uncharacterized. Lineage: Eukaryota; Viridiplantae; Streptophyta; Magnoliopsida; Proteales; Proteaceae. The transcript has 2 exons. The record is from RefSeq and is a predicted model, not a curated record.